AGUUCACGCAUUACAAUUAUAUCCCACACCCUGAACACUAGCAAGUGGCCUUUGUGAUGACUCAGAGGUUGACUUUUUGAAGGAAUUUGCAUCAAUUUUCGAGGGACAGGACAACACGUGUGUUUAUUCAGUGGAGAGAGGCUCAUGAUGCUGAAUGCUGUCAUCAAAGGAUUUGUAGCUUUUGUGGUGGAGCAGGACCUGCAAGGAAAGAUGAUGGCAGCAUUUGUUGGGGGAAAAAAGGUUUUAGGGAUUUUACUCAAAUAUAAAGAUCUGAAAUGUCUGC
Non-coding RNA from Pimephales promelas (fathead minnow), 283 nucleotides. The record is from RefSeq and is a predicted model, not a curated record. Lineage: Eukaryota; Metazoa; Chordata; Actinopteri; Cypriniformes; Leuciscidae.